Long non-coding RNA from Oncorhynchus keta (chum salmon), 1071 nucleotides. RefSeq lists it as uncharacterized. The record is from RefSeq and is a predicted model, not a curated record. The transcript is spliced from 2 exons. Lineage: Eukaryota; Metazoa; Chordata; Actinopteri; Salmoniformes; Salmonidae.
ACUAAGGUGUCAGUAAAGUUCUACACACACCUUUAUGGUUCUACAGGUUCUUAAUGAUGUGUUUAUGUGGGCGGUGUCUAUGCACAGCAAGCUCAACUUGUGACCUUGCGACAAUAACAACUAUUCAAAGAGCAGCCCACAUUUUCUUUUACCAAGCAGACACACUUACGAUUCCUGGGAAAUCAACAGGAACUGCGGAAAAAGUUCUCACACAAUAUGGGAGAGUGGGGAUUUUGUGUAUCCCUGGAAACAACCAGAAUUCAUGUAAAUAUAACAGUUUUGAAAACAUAUGGAGGAAAGAGGGGGAUGCUUGCAAGCCGAAGAAACACCCUCCCAACCGUGAAGCACGGGGGUGGCAGAGUCAUGUGUGGGGGUGCUUUGCUGCAGGAAGGACUUGUGCACUUCACAAAAUAGAUGCCAUCAUGAGGUAGGAAAAAUGAUGUGGAUAUAUUGAAGCAACAUCUCAAGACAUUAGUCAGGAAGUUAAAGCUUGGUUGCAAAUGGGUCUUCCAAAUGGACAAUGACCCCAGCAUACUUCCAAAGUUGUGGCAAAAUGGCUUAUGGACAACAAAGUCAAGGUAUUGGAGUGACCAUCACAAAGCCCUGAUCUCAAUCCCAUAGAAAAAUUGUGGGCAGAACUGAAAAAGCAUGUGCGAGCAAGGAGGCCUACAAACCUGACUCAGUUACAGCAGCUCUGUCAGAAGGAAUGGGCCAAAAUUUACCCAACUUAUUGUGGGAAGCUUGUGGAAGGCUACCCAACACGUUCGACCCAAGUUAAACAAUUUAAAGGCAAUGCUACCAAAUACUAAUUGAGUGUAUGUAAACUUCUGACCCACUGGGAAUGUGAUAAGAGCUGAAGUAAAUCAUUUUCUCUACUAUUACUUUGACAUUUCACAUUCUUAAAAUAAAGUGGUGAUCCUAACUGACCUAAAACAGGGAAUUUUUACUGGGAUUAAAUGUCAGGAAUUGUGAAAAACUGAGUUUAAAUGUUUUUUGGUUAAGGUUUAUGUAAACUUCCGACUUCAACUGUAAGUUCAAGAGUAAAAAUGUGCUUAACAAGUCACAUAAUAA